CUACGGGAGGCAGCAGUGGGGAAUAUUGCACAAUGGGCGAAAGCCUGAUCCAGCCAUGCCGCGUGCGGGAAGAAGGCCUUCGGGUUGUAAACCGCUUUUAGCCGGGAAGAAAAGGCGGCUCCUAAUACGGGCUGUUCUUGACGGUACCGGCGGAAUAAGCACCGGCUAACUACGUGCCAGCAGCCGCGGUAAUACGUAGGGUGCGAGCGUUGUCCGGAAUCACUGGGCGUAAAGGGCGCGUAGGUGGCGGGGUAAGCGUGUGGUGAAAGUCCGGGGCUCAACCCCGGACUAGCAGUGGGUACGGGCAAACUAGAGUGUGGUAGGGGAGACUGGAAUUCCUGGUGUAGCGGUGAAAUGCGCAGAUAUCAGGAGGAACACCAAUGGCGAAGGCAGGUCUCUGGGCCACUACUGACGCUGAGAAGCGAAAGCGUGGGGAGCGAACAGGAUUAGAUACCCCUGUAGUCC
This 465-nucleotide ribosomal RNA is filed under the name uncultured bacterium. RNAcentral's name for it is "bacterial SSU rRNA". It matches the Rfam family "Bacterial small subunit ribosomal RNA", at positions 339 to 796 of the family's 1533-position model. The record is from RNAcentral.